RNAcentral lists this ribosomal RNA (253 nucleotides) under uncultured bacterium. Its description in RNAcentral is "partial 16S ribosomal RNA". It matches the Rfam family "Bacterial small subunit ribosomal RNA", at positions 524 to 776 of the family's 1533-position model. The record is from RNAcentral.
GACAGAGGAUGCAAGCGUUAUCCGGAAUGAUUGGGCGUAAAGCGUCUGUAGGCGGCUUUUUAAGUCUGCCGUCAAAUCCCAGGGCUUAACCCUGGACAGGCGGUGGAAACUACCAAGCUGGAGUACGGUAGGGGCAGGGGGAAUUUCCGGUGGAGCGGUGAAAUGCGUAGAGAUCGGAAAGAACACCAACGGCGAAAGCACUCUGCUGGGCCGACACUGACACUGAGAGACGAAAGCUAGGGGAGCGAAUGGG